This 704-nucleotide long non-coding RNA is filed under the name Gallus gallus (chicken). Lineage: Eukaryota; Metazoa; Chordata; Aves; Galliformes; Phasianidae. The record is from RNAcentral.
GAGCAUUCUUUACACAUGGCUAAAAAAACAGACAGGCAGAGGGGACAGGGGCCAAGUCCUUCCUGUAGAGUUCAUGCUGACAGGUCGCUGUUAUCAAAUCUCUCCUGGUCGUACACCUCUGCCACCACCUUCCUGCCAGCAAACCAGCGCCCGUUCAGAGCCUGAAUGGCUUUGUGAGUCUCUGAGGCCAUGGAGAAUUCCACAAAGAUCUUGACAAUGAUCUCAGCAUCCUCCUCUUCUCCCUGCUUCUCCUGGUAGAUGAUGACCCUGUUUACGGCCCCAAAUUUGCCACACUCUUCCGUCACUUCUCCCUCCAGGUCAUCAUCAAUGUCCUUUGGAUCCACCAUGUUGCGAAGCACCAUCACAGUGGACUCCUGUUUACGAAGCAGUUUCUGCAUCACCAUGUGACGGGCACUGCUGCCAGAUAUGCUCAUGUGUUCCUGUUCACUCAGCAUCUCCGGCCUCUCGGAUUCCUGGAACACCUCCUCCUCUUCCUUCUCCUUCUUGUUGUGGGAUCCCUGGCUAGCGUGCAGGAUUUGAUCUUUCCGAAGGCCUCAAACACACUCUUGAUGUCAUCAUCUGACAGGUCCUGAUGGACAGAAGCCACGUAGAUGCGGUUGAAGGCCCGUGCCUCUUCUGCUAGUUGGUCUAUAAUUGGUUGUGCCUGUCCUAUAUUGCUCGGUCUCCCCACCUUUAUAUUCCUU